This 73-nucleotide transfer RNA is filed under the name Candidatus Woesearchaeota archaeon. RNAcentral describes it as "tRNA-Gln". It matches the Rfam family "tRNA". Rfam says of the family: Transfer RNA (tRNA) molecules are approximately 80 nucleotides in length. Their secondary structure includes four short double-helical elements and three loops (D, anti-codon, and T loops). Lineage: Archaea; Nanobdellati; Candidatus Woesearchaeota. The record is from RNAcentral.
AGCCCCGUAGUGUAGCGGCCAAUCAUACAGGCCUUUGGAGCCUGUGACCCCGGUUCGAAUCCGGGCGGGGCUA